UUACUCCCACUACACCAACCUCCUCCCCCACCAUCUCCUCCGUCGCCACCCUGCUCCUCCCACACCAUCUCAACCGUCGCCGCCCUGCUCCUCCCCCACCAUCUCUUCCGCCGCCGACCAUCUCCUCCGCCGCCGGCCAUCUCCUCUGCAGCGGCGAGACCUGCUCCAUCUCCUCCCCUGUGCUAGACCUGCUCCAUUUCCUCCCCCACUAUACACCCACACAGGUAUGUCAAAGAUUCUCCUCACUAAAUGGGAGAGAAACAACAAUGGUCAAACGACCAUCUAAAAUGCUUAUUAGAGACAUGUAUUGAAG
This 313-nucleotide long non-coding RNA is filed under the name Helianthus annuus (common sunflower). RNAcentral's name for it is "hypothetical non coding rna". Lineage: Eukaryota; Viridiplantae; Streptophyta; Magnoliopsida; Asterales; Asteraceae. The record is from RNAcentral.